This 63-nucleotide transfer RNA is filed under the name Neochauliodes umbratus. Its description in RNAcentral is "tRNA-His". The record is from RNAcentral. Lineage: Eukaryota; Metazoa; Arthropoda; Insecta; Megaloptera; Corydalidae.
AUUUAAAUAGUUUAAUAAAAAUUUUGAUUUGUGGUGUCAAAGAUGUAGGAAAUACUUUAGAUU